AGGUGCGAUCAUACCAGCACUAAUACACCGCAUCCCAUCAAAACCUCGCAGUCAAGCGUGCUUGGGCGAGAGUUGUACUAGGAUGGGUGACCUCCUGGGAAGUCCUCGUGUUGCACCUC
Non-coding RNA from Lupinus angustifolius (narrow-leaved blue lupine), 119 nucleotides. The record is from Rfam. NCBI's taxonomy places the organism in Eukaryota, Viridiplantae, Streptophyta, Magnoliopsida, Fabales, Fabaceae.